RNAcentral lists this ribosomal RNA (259 nucleotides) under uncultured bacterium. RNAcentral describes it as "partial 16S ribosomal RNA". It matches the Rfam family "Bacterial small subunit ribosomal RNA", at positions 92 to 354 of the family's 1533-position model. The record is from RNAcentral.
UGAGUGGCGACGGGUGAGUAACGCGUGGGCAACCUGGCCUGUACAGGGGGAUAACACUUAGAAAUAGGUGCUAAUACCGCAUAACGGGGGAAGCCGCAUGGCUUUCCCUGAAAACUCCGGUGGUACAGGAUGGGCCCGCGUCUGAUUAGCCAGUUGGCAGGGUAACGGCCUACCAAAGCGACGAUCAGUAGCCGGCCUGAGAGGGCGGACGGCCACACUGGGACUGAGACACGGCCCAGACUCCUACGGAAGGCAGCAG